GAUGAAGAACGCAGCAAAAUGCGAUAAGUAAUGUGAAUUGCAGAAUUCAGUGAAUCAUCGAAUCUUUGAACGCACAUUGCGCCCACUGGUAUUCCGGCGGGCAUGCCUGUUCGAGCGUCAUUUCAACCCUCAAGCCCCCGGGUUUGGUGUUGGGGAUCGGCUCUGCCCUUCUGGGCGGUGCCGCCCCCGAAAUACAUUGGCGGUCUCGCUGCAGCCUCCAUUGCGUAGUAGCUAACACCUCGCAACUGGAACGCGGCGCGGCCAUGCCGUAAAACCCCAACUUCUGAAUGUUGACCUCGGAUCAGGUAGGAAUACCCGCUGAACUUAAGCAUAUCAAUAAGCGGAGGA
Molecule: unclassified non-coding RNA, 348 nt
Filed under: soil metagenome
Description: partial contains 5.8S ribosomal RNA, internal transcribed spacer 2, and large subunit ribosomal RNA
Rfam family: 5.8S ribosomal RNA (bases 1-120)
Source: RNAcentral